AGGUCUGUAAAGGGGGAAGCCUGCACGACUCGGGCCAAAAACCUGGCUUGAAGAGAACUCAGCUUCUGCCUGCUUUCCCUGGGUUCCGCAGCCACCAAACUGAACCCCUUGACCCUUACCCUUUACCCUAACGACUCCUCGCCUGGCCAAAGGAAUAAAUCCUUGUAUGUGUUUACAUCCCAGGCUAUCCCCGGGACUGAAGGGCUGAGAAGCCUGGGUCCACAGUGGAACUCGGAUGACCUUACAUUAACUCUGAAGAGGAGAGCAGCUUGCGGUGGAGCUGAAGCUGCCGGCAGGCCCAGAGGUUCCAUCUAGAAGCUAUGGGGUGUCUUCUCUCCUUUGGAAGGACUUUAGAGAUGGCAGUUGAGACUUACCAGGCUUUCGGGGCCUUAGGGCUACUUUGCUCCUUGGUUUGAGGCUGAAACGGAUUCUGGACACCUCCGUUCCCACUCGUCUGUGUCUCACCAUUUGGCUGCAUCAUUUAUCUGACGAAAUGAAGGUUGGGGCAAGAUGGUUAUUUCCUGGCUGAAGCUCUAGCUUUUCUGAGCCCUUUCCUGUUGGGGGCCACACUUCCUGCCCUACAGGAGAUGAUGGGAAACCAAGGAGCAGGGUGAGGAGAGCUGUGGGAAACCUUGUAAAGAAUGUAGAUAUUAAUGAUUAUUUUAUUUGAGGCUAGA
Molecule: non-coding RNA, 677 nt
Organism: Vicugna pacos (alpaca)
Lineage: Eukaryota; Metazoa; Chordata; Mammalia; Artiodactyla; Camelidae
Source: RefSeq, a predicted model, not a curated record